Molecule: ribosomal RNA, 253 nt
Filed under: uncultured bacterium
Lineage: Bacteria
Description: partial 16S ribosomal RNA
Rfam family: Bacterial small subunit ribosomal RNA
Source: RNAcentral
UACGUAGGGUGCAAGCGUUAAUCGGAAUUACUGGGCGUAAAGCGUGCGCAGGCGGUGAUGUAAGACAGAUGUGAAAUCCCCGGGCUCAACCUGGGAAUUGCAUUUGUGACUGCAUCGCUGGAGUGCGGCAGAGGGGGAUGGAAUUCCGCGUGUAGCAGUGAAAUGCGUAGAUAUGCGGAGGAACACCGAUGGCGAAGGCAAUCCCCUGGGCCUGCACUGACGCUCAUGCACGAAAGCGUGGGGAGCAAACAGG